Molecule: ribosomal RNA, 758 nt
Filed under: uncultured Gammaproteobacteria bacterium
Lineage: Bacteria; Pseudomonadati; Pseudomonadota; Gammaproteobacteria
Description: bacterial SSU rRNA
Rfam family: Bacterial small subunit ribosomal RNA
Source: RNAcentral
GCAAGUCGUGCGAGAGAGUAUCUUCGGAUAUGAGUAGAGCGGCGGACGGGUGAGUAACGCGUAGGAAUCUACCUAGUAGAAGGGGAUAGCCCGGGGAAACCCGGAUUAAUACCGUAUACCUCCUUCGGGAGAAAGAAGGCCUCCCUUUGAAGCUUUCGCUACUAGAUGAGCCUGCGUAAGAUUAGCUUGUUGGUGAGGUAAAGGCUCACCAAGGCUACGAUCUUUAGCUGGUCUGAGAGGACGAUCAGCCACAUUGGGACUGAGACACGGCCCAGACUCCUACGGGAGGCAGCAGUGGGGAAUAUUGGACAAUGGGCGCAAGCCUGAUCCAGCCAUACCGCGUGUGUGAGGAAGGCCUUCGGGUUGUAAAGCACUUUAAGCAGGGAGAAAAAGUUAUAAGUUAAUACCUUAUAACCCUGAUGUUACCUGCAGAAUAAGCACCGGCUAAUUCCGUGCCAGCAGCCGCGGUAAUACGGAAGGUGCAAGCGUUAAUCGGAAUUACUGGGCGUAAAGCGCGCGUAGGUGGUUUGUUAAGUUGGAUGUGAAAGCCCUGGGCUCAACCUAGGAACUGCAUCCAAAACUAACUCACUAGAGUACGAUAGAGGGAGGUAGAAUUCAUAGUGUAGCGGUGGAAUGCGUAGAUAUUAUGAAGAAUACCAGUGGCGAAGGCGGCCUCCUGGAUCUGUACUGACACUGAGGUGCGAAAGCGUGGGUAGCGAACAGGAUUAGAUACCCUGGUAGUCCACGCCGUAAACGAU